Molecule: long non-coding RNA, 279 nt
Organism: Quercus lobata
Lineage: Eukaryota; Viridiplantae; Streptophyta; Magnoliopsida; Fagales; Fagaceae
Exons: 3
Source: RefSeq, a predicted model, not a curated record
UCCUCCACUUUAUUUUUCUUUUGCUCACUUCGUGUCCCACACUCUCAGUUCUCUUGGUUCUUCUGUCUCUCUUCUCCCACGUCUCUAAUCUCCAAAGUAGCCACACUUCUUCUCCCUCAAGCCUCCACACAUUUUCUCUCCUCCCUUGCCACCCCAAGCCACUGCUGACCCACCAUUUCUUCAAAGUUUUUUGUUGUUCAAGUUUCUUUAAAGUGAAGCUCUUAUUCAGAUUUGGCUAUUUGAGCAAAAGGACCUGAGAAUCAAGGGCUGAAUGAUUGU